UGCGCAGGCGGCUUGGCAAGAAAGAUGUGAAAUCCCCGCGCUUAACGUGGGCAUUGCAUUUGAAACUAUGUAGCUAGAGUUCUGUAGAGGGGGGUAGAAUUCCAGGUGUAGCGGUGAAAUGCGUAGAGAUCUGGAGGAAUACCGAUUGCGAAGGCAGCCCCCUGGACAGUGACUGACGCUCAUAUGCGAAAGCGUGGGGAUCAAACAGGAUUAGAUACCCCCGUA
Molecule: ribosomal RNA, 225 nt
Filed under: uncultured Thorsellia sp.
Lineage: Bacteria; Pseudomonadati; Pseudomonadota; Gammaproteobacteria; Enterobacterales; Thorselliaceae
Description: partial 16S ribosomal RNA
Rfam family: Bacterial small subunit ribosomal RNA
Source: RNAcentral